Molecule: long non-coding RNA, 347 nt
Filed under: Chloebia gouldiae (Gouldian finch)
Lineage: Eukaryota; Metazoa; Chordata; Aves; Passeriformes; Passeridae
Description: Erythrura gouldiae (Gouldian finch) lncRNA (ENSEGOG00005014339.1)
Source: RNAcentral
CUUAUGGCACCGGAGGAGUCUCUGGCUCCGUGUGGACCCCAGGUGUAGAAGUUCCUCUCAGACUGUGUUUGGCAGCCCUCAGUGCCCACCUGUUUCUGUGCCUUGUGUGGAAGAAAGCCAAGCCCUGGGACAAAGCCAGGUCCUGGAGGAUCCAGCUGUUGACUCACUAACCAACGACAUGUUCCAGGCAGCAUGCCUGCUCUGUGAAUUUUCUGACAGUGGACGGAUGUGACCUGCCUGCAGAUACACUCCAUGUGUCUGCAGUUCCCCAAGAAAUACCCCACUGCUUCCUUUUUUCCCCUUUUCUUUUAAUAGGAGUCUGACAGGGAGAGGAAUAGAGUGAGGGA